RNAcentral lists this ribosomal RNA (1245 nucleotides) under metagenome. Its description in RNAcentral is "SSU rRNA". It matches the Rfam family "Eukaryotic small subunit ribosomal RNA", at positions 483 to 1762 of the family's 1831-position model. The record is from RNAcentral.
AGACCGUUCUCUUCAGAGGCCGGUCAUUGGAAUGGGUACAAUUUAAACCCUUUAACGAGUAUCUAUGAGAGGGCAAGUCUGGUGCCAGCAGCCGCGGUAAUUCCAGCUCUCAAAAUGCAUAGAAUCAUUGCUGCGGUUAAAAAGCUCGUAGUUGGAUCUGUGCUGGCGGGUCGGUCCACCUUCGGGUGCGCACUGAUUUCGCCGGCUUUCCUGCUGUAUUUGGCCCUGUGCCUUUCAACGGGUGCAGUGUCCAGUGCAGCAAGUUUACCUUGAACAAAUCAGAGUGCUUCAAACAGGCAUUUCGCUUGAAUGUUCGUGCAUGGAAUAAUAGAAGAGGAUUUCGGUUCUAUUUUAUUGGUUUUAUAGACUGAGAUAAUGGUUAACAGGGACUAACGGGGGCAUUAGUAUUGCUACGCGAGAGGUGAAAUUCUUGGACCGUAGCAAGACUGACUACAGCGAAAGCAUUUGCCAAGAAAGUCUUCAUUAAUCAAGAACGAAAGUCAGAGGUUCGAAGGCGAUCAGAUACCGCCCUAGUUCUGACCGUAAACGAUGCCAACUAGUGAUCCGCCGGUGGAACAUUCGCCCUGGUGGGGAACUUCCCGGAAACGAAAGUCUUCCGGUUCCGGGGGAAGUAUGGUUGCAAAGCUGAAACUUAAAGGAAUUGACGGAAGGGCACCACCAGGAGUGGAGCCUGCGGCUUAAUUUGACCCAACACGGGAAAACUCACCCGGCCCGGACACCGUAAGGAUUGACAGAUUGAUAGCUCUUUCAUGAUUCGGUGGAUGGCGGUGCAUGGCCGUUCUUAGUUCGUGGAGCGAUUUGUCUGGUUUAUUCCGAUAACGAGCGAGACUCUGGCCUACUAAAUAGUUUACACAUUGCUUCUGUGUGCAUAACUUCUUAGAGGGAUUUUCGGUGUUCAGCCGCAAGAAAUUGAGCAAUAACAGGUCUGUGAUGCCCUUAGAUGUCCGGGGCUGCACGCGCGCUACACUGGCAAAAUCAGCGUGCUUGUCCUUCCCCGAAAGGGGUUGGUAAACUCGUGAAAAUUUGCCGUGAUUGGGAUCGGAAAUUGCAAUUAUUUUCCGUGAACGAGGAAUUCCAAGUAAGUGCGAGCCAUCAACUCGCGUUGAUUACGUCCCUGCCCUUUGUACACACCGCCCGUCGCUGCCCGGGACUGAGCCGUUUCGAGAAACUUGGAGACCGCUGAUCUGGUAACUUCGAUUGCCAUUUUGGUGGGAACCAGUUUAA